RNAcentral lists this ribosomal RNA (434 nucleotides) under uncultured Clostridium sp. RNAcentral's name for it is "partial 16S ribosomal RNA". It matches the Rfam family "Bacterial small subunit ribosomal RNA", at positions 341 to 792 of the family's 1533-position model. Lineage: Bacteria; Bacillati; Bacillota; Clostridia; Eubacteriales; Clostridiaceae. The record is from RNAcentral.
ACGGGAGGCAGCAGUGGGGAAUAUUGCACAAUGGGGGAAACCCUGAUGCAGCGACGCCGCGUGAGUGAAAAAGUAUUUCGGUAUGUAAAGCUCUAUCAGCAGGGUAGAAAAUGACGGUACCUGACUAAGAAGCCCCGGCUAACUACGUGCCAGCAGCCGCGGUAAUACGUAGGGGGCAAGCGUUAUCCGGAUUUACUGGGUGUAAAGGGAGCGCAGACGGCUUUGCAAGUCUGAUGUGAAAGGCAGGGGCUCAACUCCUGGACUGCAUUGGAAACUGUAGGGCUAGAGUGUCGGAGAGGUAAGCGGAAUUCCUAGUGUAGCGGUGAAAUGCGUAGAUAUUAGGAGGAACACCAGUGGCGAAGGCGGCUUACUGGACUGUAACUGACGUUGAGGCUCGAAAGCGUGGGGAGCAAACAGGAUUAGAUACCCUGGUA